UAAUAGGUAUGUCCACUCGUAUAAGUUCUGGAUAUGGCAGAAUGUCUCUACCGAAAACCAUAAAUUUUCGUCUAUGAGUGAAACUAUUAUU
RNAcentral lists this non-coding RNA (91 nucleotides) under human gut metagenome. RNAcentral's name for it is "Purine riboswitch". The stretch from base 14 to 91 matches the Rfam family "Purine riboswitch aptamer", at positions 18 to 99 of the family's 102-position model. Rfam says of the family: Riboswitches are metabolite binding domains within certain messenger RNAs that serve as precision sensors for their corresponding targets. The record is from RNAcentral.